This 317-nucleotide ribosomal RNA is filed under the name uncultured eukaryote. RNAcentral's name for it is "partial large subunit ribosomal RNA". It matches the Rfam family "Eukaryotic large subunit ribosomal RNA", at positions 40 to 350 of the family's 3401-position model. The record is from RNAcentral.
AUAUCAUUAAGCGGAGGAAAAGAAACUAACAAGGAUUCCCCUAGUAACGGCGAGUGAAGCGGGAAUAGCUCAAAUUUGGAAUCUGCAAGGGCUCCCCUUGCCGAAUUGUAAAUUAGAGAAGCGUUUUCGGCUUACAGGUUCAGCAUAAGUCGCCUGGAACGGUGCGUCAUAGAGGGUGAGAACCCCGUCUGUGGUUGAACAUUGUGGCCAUGUGAUACGCUUUCAACGAGUCGGGUUGUUUGGGAAUGCAGCCCAAAAUGGGUGGUGAAAUCUCAUCUAAAGCUAAAUACUGGCCAGAGACCGAUAGCGCACAAGUA